RNAcentral lists this non-coding RNA (171 nucleotides) under Chloropicon mariensis. Lineage: Eukaryota; Viridiplantae; Chlorophyta; Chloropicophyceae; Chloropicales; Chloropicaceae. The record is from RNAcentral.
UCGGCGACUUCAAGGCUGGGGAGUCCCAGAUUCUGGUGGCAACGGACAUAGCGGCGAGAGGACUUGAUAUUGAGCAGCUGCCUCAGGUUGUGAACUUCAACCUUCCAAACGUCGCGGAGGACUACGUGCACCGGAUUGGACGAACUGGGAGAGCUGGGAUGACGGGGGAGG